CUCCCUGGCAUCAAGGUGGACAAGGGUACCAUAGAGCUCGCUGGAACCAACGGUGAGACCACCACCCAGGGCUUUGAUGACCUUGGCAAGCGCUGCGCCAAGUACUAUGAAACUGGUGCCCGCUUCGCCAAGUGGCGUGCAGUCCUCAAGAUCGGCGCCACUAAGCCAUCGCAGCUCUCCAUCGACCAGAACGCUCAGGGUCUGGCUCGCUGUGCCAUCAUCUGCCAG
RNAcentral lists this ribosomal RNA (228 nucleotides) under Triticum aestivum (bread wheat). RNAcentral describes it as "partial small subunit ribosomal RNA". Lineage: Eukaryota; Viridiplantae; Streptophyta; Magnoliopsida; Poales; Poaceae. The record is from RNAcentral.